GAACCUGCGGAAGGAUCAUUAUC
Molecule: ribosomal RNA, 23 nt
Filed under: Orcula austriaca
Lineage: Eukaryota; Metazoa; Mollusca; Gastropoda; Stylommatophora; Orculidae
Also listed under: 24 other names
Description: partial 18S ribosomal RNA
Source: RNAcentral